Molecule: long non-coding RNA, 1080 nt
Filed under: Cercocebus atys (sooty mangabey)
Lineage: Eukaryota; Metazoa; Chordata; Mammalia; Primates; Cercopithecidae
Description: lncRNA (ENSCATG00000045560.1)
Source: RNAcentral
GGAAGAGUGUGAAUUAGCUGGCCCUGGAGCACCUGAGACACACAAGCUGUCUGCUCUUGCUCAGCUUUCUGUAAAAACAGGAAAACUGCAUCGUGGAAAGGUGCUUGCUGGAGUCAAGAAGCUAUAGCACAUUCCAGUGUUGCCUUGACAGAGAAGAGGAUCAUGAUGAGGGAGAAUUUUGCAUGACUUGACAUGUGCCUACUUGAGUUUCUAAGUGAAGUGUCCAUUAAGACUGUGCCCAAGAUUGGUCAAAAGAGGUCAUCAGACAUAAGAAGUCCACUAGGAAGCCAAUCAGAUCAGCCUAUGAGGAGCAGGCUGAAAAUCUAUCAGUGGCCUGUGUGUGGUACCAGUGACUAGAUCUGAAUUAUCAAGAUAGAAGGUCACCAUCCCAAGAGACAGGACUGCUCAAAAAGCCCUGGAAUAGUCCUGAUUCUUGUCAGACUGUGGAAAAGUGCUAAGAACAUAAAUUGGUGAGUACGUUUGAUAAGCUGAAGCAAAGUGGACGGGUCCUGCAGCUAUAAUUUCUUCUCCCUUACAAGUCCGUCAGUCAAGUAGAUUACUAGGAAACUAGGUUUCUAUGGAAUAGAAGCAGGGAAAGAGAGAGAAGGGAAGAUACACCCAAUAAUGCCUCUUUCAGGUGUAUUUCUAUUAGUAUCCUCUUUCUAAAAUUAUUGACACAUCAAAUCUAAUGACCAAGUUGGAUGCUUUCAGGCAAAAAGGUAUCAAAUGCCUAAAAUGUCAUUAUUUUACUUCUGAGAAGCCACUAUUUCUUUUAUUCUCAUACACUUGCUUAUCUUGAAGUGGUGAACCACAUAAAUACAUUUUGAUAUUUGAUCUUUUAAAACUAGACACUUAGCAAUAUAUCCUUUUUAAAAAAAAAAUUUAUUUAUUAUUAUUAUACUUUAAGUUCUAGGGUACAUGUGCAUAACGUGCAAGUUUGUUACAUAUGUAUUCUUGUGCCAUGUUGGUGUGCUGCACCCAUCAACUCUUUAAUAUAACAUUUUUUUUUCUAAUAGCUUCUUUCAAGGUCUUUUUCUUUAAAUUAAGAAAAACAUAAACUAUCAUAUGUAUCCCUUCCUG